UACGGAGGGGGCUAGCGUUGCUCGGAAUCACUGGGCGUAAAGGGUGCGUAGGCGGGUCUUUAAGUCAGGGGGGAAAUCCUGGAGCUCAACUCCAGAACUGCCUUUGAUACUGAGGAUCUUGAGUUCGGGAGAGGUGAGUGGAACUGCGAGUGUAGAGGUGAAAUUCGUAGAUAUUCGCAAGAACACCAGUGGCGAAGGCGGCUCACUGGCCCGAUACUGACGCUGAGGCACGAAAGCGUGGGGAGCAAACAGG
RNAcentral lists this ribosomal RNA (253 nucleotides) under uncultured bacterium. RNAcentral describes it as "partial 16S ribosomal RNA". It matches the Rfam family "Bacterial small subunit ribosomal RNA", at positions 524 to 776 of the family's 1533-position model. The record is from RNAcentral.